Molecule: ribosomal RNA, 287 nt
Filed under: uncultured Limnohabitans sp.
Lineage: Bacteria; Pseudomonadati; Pseudomonadota; Betaproteobacteria; Burkholderiales; Comamonadaceae
Description: partial 16S ribosomal RNA
Rfam family: Bacterial small subunit ribosomal RNA
Source: RNAcentral
GAUCGAGUUUGAUCCUGGCUCAGAUUGAACGUUGGCGGAAUGCUUUACACAUGCAAGUCGAACGGUAGAGGGGGCAACUCCUUGAGAGUGGCGAACGGGUGAGUAAUAUAUCGGAACGUGCCCAGUCGUGGGGGAUAACGUAGUGAAAAUUACGCUAAUACCGCAUACGAUCUAAGGAUGAGAGCGGGGGAUCGCAGACCUCGCGCGACUGGAGCGGCCGAUAUCAGAUUAGGUAGUUAGGUAGGGUAAACGGCCUACCAAGCCAACGAUCUGUAGCUGGUCUGAGA